Schistocerca nitens (vagrant locust) is the source of this 2420-nucleotide long non-coding RNA. RefSeq lists it as uncharacterized. The record is from RefSeq and is a predicted model, not a curated record. The transcript has 2 exons. NCBI's taxonomy places the organism in Eukaryota, Metazoa, Arthropoda, Insecta, Orthoptera, Acrididae.
UGUGUGCUAAAUUAUAUAUAUAUAUACAUAUACGCGUAUAGUCACUAUAUUUAAGAAAGCAGCGCUUGAAGUGUAGCAAGAGGAGACAGUGAACAAAAUUUGAAAAUAUAUAUUAUAAAUGUGCUAAAAUUUUGACAAGUCCAAUGUAAAUAGUCACUAAGCAUAUAUUCAAACUGUUUUCUGUGCGUUUCUAGACGUGUUCGUGUAAGCGCUUUUAAAUUAGGAACUUGGCUGUAAAUGGGAUGUGGCGUUUAUGGAACAAUUUUUAUUGUGUUCAGACGCAAGCUCAGACGAAGAGGAACAUCGACACUGUAGCUCAAAGGAUGCUAGCAGAUUUAACCUCUUCAGUUAACAACCUGGGCAUAUGGGAGGCACAUCCCAAUUUCUUUUAAUGCAUCGCAUCUAAGCUCACUGUCGUACAUUUCAUAAAAUCCGUGUAAAAAGAGAGGAAAAAAUAAAAAGAACACACAAUUUCAGCAUCCAAGUAGAAAAGCAAGUAUAAUAACAAGCUUAGUAUCACGAGCUAACCUUAUCCUAGGAAAAACAAACGACAGAUGUGCUUGUGUUAACAGUAGAUGUAACGCUACAGUAAAUGUUGUCACAACCUUUUUGCCCUCAUGCAAAUGUGAUGCAGCUAGAAGAACCUAUCCCUUUUACAACUGAACGCUGAGAAUACGUUUUGCAUUGCCCCCUUUUUUUUUAAAAAAAAAAAGAGAGAAAAAAUGAAAGUGACUUCUUCAGUGGAGCGACUGACUGUUUUUGAUCUGCCAAAAUGUGACGAACGAAGAAGGGUAACCAUGUGGUGUAGCGACCUACGGAACACACGUUUGGCGCUCUGACUGUGAUGCGGUCUCCGUUAAAAACCUCGGAAAUGAGAUUUUUCGACGACAGGAAGACCUACGAGAGAGUCCUCUAUGUGGAUAAUUGAACGAAGGCUGCGUGGACUGUUGGUCUGCGCAGAUCUCCUAUAAUUUCAUGACUAGUCGCAGCGAGCGAUGAAUGUGUGCAGAUGCGCCGCCGAUGGUCCAGUAUUUUCAAGCUUUGAAAGUGCUUAGCUGUGUGUGGUGUAUGCGUGUGCAUCGAAGCUCUGCAGUGUUAUCGUAUUAAUGUAGGAGGUAAAGAAAAAUUGCGAGCAUCGUAUUACUGGUGAUCAGGGAGUGAGUUAUUCGAGUGAAAGUUGCCAAAAGUGAUGUUGCUAAUUGUUUCCUUGGUCGUGUGGCAGUGGUAAUGUUUCGCCCAGUUGAGGGAGUCAACACCACCGUUCCCUGCCAUCGCCAGUCUGCAGCCCCAAAACGUCCUGCCCAUCUUCAGCGGGAGAGAGGUCCAUCUACAUUGCCCUCCUCCCCCCCCCCCCAAGCCCCACAUCCCACGUACGUGCAGGAAACCUCUGGGCUAUGAAACGUCUACACGACACCAGUCUAAGAAGUGGCAGAUCAGAAGACAUUGAGGUUCACAGGCGUACGCCGUAGCGUGUAAGAACAGACAAGCUCUGCAGACUUUCGUCGGAAAGAUGAACAAGGAAACGAUAUACGUAAGAAGGAGUCUGUAACAAAACUUGCACACACUUUUUUGUGUAAGAUUGAAACUGGUAUACGUAAUAUAAAAUGACGUAAACUAUUUCUGGUCCUAUAUGAAACUGUAGAAUACGUCUUUAUACACCAAUGGAAUAGCAUACAUAUGUUUCGUACAGAAGUUUUGAGUGUUUCGAUAGGUUUAAACUAAUUUAUAGCAAGAAAUAUGUGCUGUGCUAAAAUACGUACUACUGAUAUUAACAAAAAAGAACACUUUUUUAAGAGGAAGGUAUUCUCAGAACAUAUUUCAUAUUCCAUAGAAAGUAAUGGAAAGUAUUUGUCUUUACUAUUAACCAUUGAUGUGUAUUUGUUAAAGUCUACACACUAAAAUUUGGGACAACCGAUUCAGAGAUUAUUGUAUCAAUUCUGCUGAAAACACCACAGCAUCGGUAGUCAUCAAAUGAGUGUUGUUUGUCGAUUUAUUUUACUUGAAUUCAUUAUUGUAAUUCAACGUAAUUUUUGUAUGAUAAGUAUUGUUUCGAAAGAAUGAGAAUAUCCUAUAUAAGUAUACAUACAUAUAUAAACAGUCACAUCGCGUUCAAUAUUAUUAUAUAGUAUAUUAAAUUGAAGUAACUAAACAUAAAUAUUCACAGAAGUUCGAACACUUGAGUCUUGCGGUUCAAUUUCACCAGAAGAAAACAGUACUACUAUUCAUUUCUCAGACAUUAUAAGUAAGCAUUGAACGUUGACUGUAGUUUGUGAAAAUUACAUAAAACAAUUCAGAAAUGGGUCCUUGUAACUUUUCGUAGUGUAAAGAUAUAUUUAAAAGUCUUGUGCGUGUGUGAGUUAAUUUUUUGUAGUUAACUGUACAAAAGUAAUAAUAAUAAAUUAAUAUAAUAAACAGUGUCA